RNAcentral lists this ribosomal RNA (690 nucleotides) under uncultured Candidatus Tremblayella sp. Its description in RNAcentral is "bacterial SSU rRNA". It matches the Rfam family "Bacterial small subunit ribosomal RNA", at positions 674 to 1359 of the family's 1533-position model. Lineage: Bacteria; Pseudomonadati; Pseudomonadota; Betaproteobacteria. The record is from RNAcentral.
AGUAGCGGUGAAAUGCGUAGAUAUCUGGAGGAAUACCAAGGGCGAAGGCAGUCCCCUGGUCCGAUACUGACACUGAGGUACGAAAGCGUGGGGAGCAAACAGGAUUAGAUACCCUGGUAGUCCACGCCCUAAACGAUGUCGAUUAGCCAUUGGAAGGACCCCUUUUCCUUUCAGUGACGUAGCUAACGCGUUAAAUCGACCGCCUGGGAAGUACGACCGCAAGGUUAAAACUCAAAGGAAUUGACGGGGACCUGAACAAGCGGUGAAUGAUGUGGAUUAAUUCGAUGCUACGCGAAGAACCUUACCUACCUUUGACAUGGCCAAAGUUCUACCGAGAGGCGGAAGUACUCGUAAGAGGAUUGGCGCACAGGUGCUGCAUGGUUGCCGUCAGUUCGUGUCGUGAGAUGUUGGGUUCAGUCCCGCAACGAACGCAACCCUUAUCUUUAAUUGCUCCUAUUUUAACAGGCACUUUAAAGAAACUGCCAAUGAUAAGUUGGAGGAAGGUGGGGAUCACGUCAAGUCCGCAUGGCCUUUAUAGGUAGGGCUUCACACGUCAUACAAUGGUUAGAACAAAGAGCUGCAAAUUCGUAAGAAGGAGCCAAUCUCACAAACCUAACCUCAGUUCGAAUUGCGGUCUGCAACUCGAGCGCAUGAAGCCGGAAUCGCUAGUAAUCGUGGAUCAGAAUGCCA